Molecule: ribosomal RNA, 405 nt
Filed under: uncultured bacterium
Lineage: Bacteria
Description: bacterial SSU rRNA
Rfam family: Bacterial small subunit ribosomal RNA
Source: RNAcentral
CAGCUCUUGACAUGCUAGGUUCCGGACUUGAGAGAUCAGGUCCUUCAGUUCGGCUGGGCCUAGUACAGGUGCUGCAUGGCUGUCGUCAGCUCGUGUCGUGAGAUGUUGGGUUAAGUCCCGCAACGAGCGCAACCCUCAUCUUCCGUUGCCAUCAGGUUAAGCUGGGCACUCUGAAGAAACUGCCGGUGACAAGCCGGAGGAAGGUGGGGAUGACGUCAAGUCCUCAUGGCCUUUAUGAGCUGGGCCACACACGUGCUACAAUGGCGGUGACAAUGGGAUGCUAAGGGGCGACCCCCAGCGAAUCUCAAAAAGCCGUCUCAGUUCGGAUUGCACUCUGCAACUCGAGUGCAUGAAGUUGGAAUCGCUAGUAAUCGCGGAUCAGCAUGCCGCGGUGAAUACGUUCCC